RNAcentral lists this ribosomal RNA (468 nucleotides) under uncultured bacterium. RNAcentral's name for it is "partial 16S ribosomal RNA". It matches the Rfam family "Bacterial small subunit ribosomal RNA", at positions 28 to 507 of the family's 1533-position model. The record is from RNAcentral.
GACGAACGCUGGCGGCGUGCUUAACACAUGCAAGUCGAACGGAAAGGCCCUGCUUUUGUGGGGUGCUCGAGUGGCGAACGGGUGAGUAACACGUGAGUAACCUGCCCUUGACUUUGGGAUAACUUCAGGAAACUGGGGCUAAUACCGGAUAGGAGCUCCUGCUGCAUGGUGGGGGUUGGAAAGUUUCGGCGGUUGGGGAUGGACUCGCGGCUUAUCAGCUUGUUGGUGGGGUAGUGGCUUACCAAGGCUUUGACGGAUAGCCGGCCUGAGAGGGUGAACGGCGACAUUGGGACUGAGAUACGGACCAGACUCCUACGGGAGGCAGCAGUGGAGAAUAUUGCCCAAUGGGCGGAAGCCUGAUGCAGCAACGCCGCGUGCGGGAUGAAGGCCUUCGGGUUGUAAACCGCUUUCGCCUGUGACGAAGCGUGAGUGACGGUAAUGGGUAAAGAAGCACCGGCUAACUACGUG